This 843-nucleotide long non-coding RNA is filed under the name Homo sapiens (human). RNAcentral's name for it is "non-protein coding RORB-AS1:11". Lineage: Eukaryota; Metazoa; Chordata; Mammalia; Primates; Hominidae. The record is from RNAcentral.
GAGACUGUCCGAACUGGGCAGAGAAGAAGGGCCGACCGGGAGAGUCGGGCAGAUCCGCAGGUGACAGGCACUUCCGACUCCAGCAGAGAAGGGGACACUGAUCACGGAAAACCUUCGGAGGUUUGUUAUACUCAAAAUGUACCAGGAACAGGAACAAAAGUAUUUUAUAAAAUAAUUAAUUUUUAUGGGCUAUGAGUCCCAAAUGGUUAUGUAAUCAAAGUGGAAGCAGAAAAGCAUGGCUUAGAAAAUAAUUGGUCAUGUCAUGUCACGCUUAACACAUGUGCAGACUCUGCCCUCCAGGUUGCAGUGCGAUGGUGUGAUCAAUGCUCAUAGUAGCUUCAAACUCCCAGGAUCAAGUGAUCCUCCUAAAUAAACCUCCUGAGUAGCUGGGACUACAGCUUCCACCAUGGGAUGAUACAGCAUGAAGGCCCUCACCAGAUAUGCACCCCUUGAUUUUGGACUUCCCAGACUCCAGAACUAAUCUGGGCUAUCCCUGUGACUUGCUUUGACUAACGGAAUGUGACAGAAUGACGUUGUGCAACAUCCAAAUCAGGACUUAAGAAACUGUAGGCAGCCAUCAUGCUGUGAACGCAAGCUGUGUGGAGAGACUAAGUGGAGGUGAAUGGAGUCAGUUCAGUCAACAGCCCUACCUGAUAUUUCAGUCCAUAACUAGCCCUGUGUGUCAGCCCUGUGAACAGGUCGUCUUGGACUUUUCACCCCAGUUGAGAAUAAUGACUACAUCCUCAGCUGAUAGCACAUGGAACAGAGGAACUACCUAGCUUAGCUGGGCCCAUAUUGCAGAAUUGUGAGAGAUCAUGAAAAGUUGUGUUUUUUUUAUAACUA